UCAUUAUCGAAAUCCAUAGAGAGGGAGGAGGGGAGGGGAAAGAUGGAAAGUGAAAUGACUGUCGCUGGUCCCUUUGCUAUUUGCUGUUUGGGGGGCAUGUGCACGUCUUGCAUUUUCAUUGACCUUUCUCUCUCUCACUCUCUCAUGACACAACACCUGUGCACCUAUUGUAGGCCCUCGCAAGAGGACCUAUGUAUUUUACAUCACACACAUCGCAUGUCUAGAAUGUAUUGAGAACCGUCGAUCCAUCGAAAGAUGGGUGGGGCGGUCGAGAUGGAAAUCAUACAACUUUCAGCAACGGAUCUCUUGGCUCUCGCAUCGAUGAAGAACGCAGCGAAUUGCGAUAAGUAAUGUGAAUUGCAGAUUUUCAGUGAAUCAUCGAAUCUUUGAACGCACCUUGCGCUUCUUGGUAUUCCGAGAAGCAUGCCUGUUUGAGUGUCAUUGAAUUCUCAACCAUGUCUUGAUUGAUUUUCGAGGCAUUGGCUUGGAGUUGGGGGUUGCUGGCGGCGAGAAGCCAUCAGCUCUCCUGAAAUGCAUUAGCGAAAGGGGUUGCAAGUCUUACCUGGACGUGCACGGCCUUUGACGUGAUAACGAUCGUCGUGGGCUUGGAGCGUCUUGACUGGGAGUCCCUUCUGAUCGCUUCUAAUUCCCUUAUGGAACCGGCUUUGGAUUGGAUUGGCUUGACUUUACUAGUUGGUCUCGACGAACGGUCAGGUCCGAAAACUUCCUAGGCUGGGUCUGUCUUUGAAAUCUUGACCUCA
RNAcentral lists this ribosomal RNA (761 nucleotides) under Costatisporus cyanescens. Its description in RNAcentral is "eukaryotic LSU rRNA". The stretch from base 287 to 441 matches the Rfam family "5.8S ribosomal RNA". Lineage: Eukaryota; Fungi; Basidiomycota; Agaricomycetes; Boletales; Boletaceae. The record is from RNAcentral.